GUGGGGAAUAUUGGACAAUGGGCGAAAGCCUGAUCCAGCAAUGCCGCGUGUGUGAAGAAGGCCUGCGGGUUGUAAAGCACUUUCAGUAGAGAAGAAAAGCCUACGGUUAAUACCCGUGAGUCUUGACGUAACCUACAGAAGAAGCACCGGCUAACUCCGUGCCAGCAGCCGCGGUAAUACGGAGGGUGCAAGCGUUAAUCGGAAUUACUGGGCGUAAAGCGCGCGUAGGCGGUUUGGUAAGUCGGUUGUGAAAGCCCCGGGCUUAACCUGGGAAUUGCAGUCGAUACUGCCUGACUAGAGUAUGGUAGAGGGAAGUGGAAUUUCCGGUGUAGCGGUGAAAUGCGUAGAUAUCGGAAGGAACACCAGUGGCGAAGGCGACUUCCUGGGCCAAUACUGACGCUGAGGUGCGAAAGCGUGGGGAGCAA
RNAcentral lists this ribosomal RNA (425 nucleotides) under uncultured bacterium. RNAcentral's name for it is "bacterial SSU rRNA". It matches the Rfam family "Bacterial small subunit ribosomal RNA", at positions 354 to 771 of the family's 1533-position model. The record is from RNAcentral.